Molecule: ribosomal RNA, 870 nt
Filed under: Cellulomonas sp. VC-CS381
Lineage: Bacteria; Bacillati; Actinomycetota; Actinomycetes; Micrococcales; Cellulomonadaceae
Description: bacterial SSU rRNA
Rfam family: Bacterial small subunit ribosomal RNA
Source: RNAcentral
AAUGCAGUCGAACGGUGAUGGCCAGCUUGCUGGUCUGAUCAGUGGCGAACGGGUGAGUAACACGUGAGCAACCUGCCCCUGACUCUGGGAUAACGACCGGAAACGGUCGCUAAUACCGGAUAUGAGACGUACAGGCAUCUGUUGCGUCUGGAAAGUUUUUCGGUCAGGGAUGGGCUCGCGGCCUAUCAGCUUGUUGGUGGGGUAACGGCCUACCAAGGCGACGACGGGUAGCCGGCCUGAGAGGGCGACCGGCCACACUGGGACUGAGACACGGCCCAGACUCCUACGGGAGGCAGCAGUGGGGAAUAUUGCACAAUGGGCGCAAGCCUGAUGCAGCGACGCCGCGUGAGGGAUGACGGCCUUCGGGUUGUAAACCUCUUUCAGCAGGGAAGAAGCGCAAGUGACGGUACCUGCAGAAGAAGCGCCGGCUAACUACGUGCCAGCAGCCGCGGUAAUACGUAGGGCGCAAGCGUUGUCCGGAAUUAUUGGGCGUAAAGAGCUCGUAGGCGGUUUGUCGCGUCUGCUGUGAAAACCUCAGGCUCAACCUGGGGCUUGCAGUGGGUACGGGCAGACUAGAGUGCGGUAGGGGUGACUGGAAUUCCUGGUGUAGCGGUGGAAUGCGCAGAUAUCAGGAGGAACACCGAUGGCGAAGGCAGGUCACUGGGCCGCAACUGACGCUGAGGAGCGAAAGCAUGGGGAGCGAACAGGAUUAGAUACCCUGGUAGUCCAUGCCGUAAACGUUGGGCACUAGGUGUGGGGCUCAUUCCACGAGCUCUGUGCCGCAGCAAACGCAUUAAGUGCCCCGCCUGGGGAGUACGGCCGCAAGGCUAAAACUCAAAGAAAUUGACGGGGGCCCGCACAAGCGGCGGA